Molecule: ribosomal RNA, 439 nt
Filed under: uncultured bacterium
Lineage: Bacteria
Description: partial 16S ribosomal RNA
Rfam family: Bacterial small subunit ribosomal RNA
Source: RNAcentral
CCUACGGUGGGCAGCAGUGGGGAAUAUUGCACAAUGGGCGAAAGCCUGAUGCAGCAACGCCGCGUGAGCGAUGAAGGCCUUCGGGUCGUAAAGCUCUGUCCUCAAGGAAGAUAAUGACGGUACUUGAGGAGGAAGCCCCGGCUAACUACGUGCCAGCAGCCGCGGUAAUACGUAGGGGGCUAGCGUUAUCCGGAAUUACUGGGCGUAAAGGGUGCGUAGGUGGUUUCUUAAGUCAGAGGUGAAAGGCUACGGCUCAACCGUAGUAAGCCUUUGAAACUGGGGAACUUGAGUGCAGGAGAGGAGAGUGGAAUUCCUAGUGUAGCGGUGAAAUGCGUAGAUAUUAGGAGGAACAUCAGUGGCGAAGGCGACUAUCUGGCACAUAACUGACGCUGAGGAGCGAAAGCGUGGGUAGCAAACAGGAUUAGAUACCCUAGUAGUC